CAUUCCAAGCAAGCUGAGUUCAGCUAUAUGAAUCCUCACAAACCAUGUUGUUCCAUUUAAGGUUAUCCCAAAUCAAUAUCUCACACAGAAAAAGAAAAGAUAAAAGCUGUAAGUUCUUCAUCGACGGAGAGAAAAUGGUUUAUGGAGAAUUAAAAACAUAAGAAGCUUGUAAUAGUCAGUCUAAAGUCUAGCAUUAAGAAAUCAACUGGGUUCUAGUCUUCA
RNAcentral lists this long non-coding RNA (222 nucleotides) under Capsicum annuum. RNAcentral describes it as "long non-coding RNA (CANN_LNC004099)". Lineage: Eukaryota; Viridiplantae; Streptophyta; Magnoliopsida; Solanales; Solanaceae. The record is from RNAcentral.